Molecule: ribosomal RNA, 656 nt
Filed under: uncultured bacterium
Lineage: Bacteria
Description: bacterial SSU rRNA
Rfam family: Bacterial small subunit ribosomal RNA
Source: RNAcentral
UNUGGUCUGUCACUGACGCUGAGGCUCGAAAGCGUGGGUAGCGAACAGGAUUAGAUACCNUGGUAGUCCACGCCGUAAACGAUGAGUGCUAGGUGUUAGGCCCUUUCCGGGGCUUAGUGCCGGAGCUAACGCAAUAAGCACUCCGCCUGGGGAGUACGACCGCAAGGUUGAAACUCAAAGGAAUUGACGGGGGCCCGCACAAGCGGUGGAGCAUGUGGUUUAAUUCGAAGCAACGCGAAGAACCUUACCAGGUCUUGACAUCCCGAUGCUAUUCUUAGAGAUAGGAAGUUACUUCGGUACAUCGGAGACAGGUGGUGCAUGGUUGUCGUCAGCUCGUGUCGUGAGAUGUUGGGUUANNNNNNNNNNNCGAGCGCAACCCUUAUUGUUAGUUGCCAUCAUUAAGUUGGGCACUCUAGCGAGACUGCCGGUAAUAAACCGGAGGAAGGUGGGGAUGACGUCAAAUCAUCAUGCCCCUUAUGACCUGGGCUACACACGUGCUACAAUGGUCGGUACAACGAGUUGCGAGCCGGUGACGGCAAGCUAAUCUCUGAAAGCCGAUCUCAGUUCGGAUUGGAGGCUGCAACUCGCCUCCAUGAAGUCGGAAUCGCUAGUAAUCGCGGAUCAGCACGCCGCGGUGAAUACGUUCCCGGGCCUUG